AUUGAACGCUGGCGGCAGGCUUAACACAUGCAAGUCGAGCGGGGUGAUGGUGCUUGCACUAUCACUUAGCGGCGGACGGGUGAGUAAUGCUUAGGAAUCUGCCUAUUAGUGGGGGACAACAUCUCGAAAGGGAUGCUAAUACCGCAUACGUCCUACGGGAGAAAGCAGGGGAUCACUUGUGACCUUGCGCUAAUAGAUGAGCCUAGGUCGGAUUAGCUAGUUGGCGGGGUAAAGGCCUACCAAGGCGACGAUCUGUAGCGGGUCUGAGAGGAUGAUCCGCCACACUGGGACUGAGACACGGCCCAGACUCCUACGGGAGGCAGCAGUGGGGAAUAUUGGACAAUGGGGGGAACCCUGAUCCAGCCAUGCCGCGUGUGUGAAGAAGGCCUUAUGGUUGUAAAGCACUUUAAGCGAGGAGGAGGCUCUUUUGGUCAAUACCCAAGAUGAGUGGACGUUACUCGCAGAAUAAGCACCGGCUAACUCUGUGCCAGCCGCCGCGGUAA
Molecule: ribosomal RNA, 503 nt
Filed under: uncultured bacterium
Lineage: Bacteria
Description: partial 16S ribosomal RNA
Rfam family: Bacterial small subunit ribosomal RNA
Source: RNAcentral